UCCUUCAGGCACGCUUAAUCGU
This 22-nucleotide non-coding RNA is filed under the name Rattus norvegicus (Norway rat). The record is from RNAcentral. Lineage: Eukaryota; Metazoa; Chordata; Mammalia; Rodentia; Muridae.